CAAAACAUGAAUUACUUGUCUAAAACUGUCCCCUUCUGUUGCUCCCCAGAGGGUUAAGCCAGAGCCCCAGGCGUGUCCUGGCCUGUUCGCCUCUUCCAACAAGGAGCGUCGUCGGUCAUGAUGGCGGCAGCAGAGUGACAGACACUCCUCCACCACCCCCGUCAUGGGCAGAGACUCCCAGCAACCACAGCGCCGGUGGGCACGGGAGGCCUCGGAGCAGCGACAGGUGCAGCAACCGUACGCCGGAGUGUCCCGAAACAGCUCCCAAACCACCACCACACCUAGGACACCCCUCAAGGGCGACUCAGACUGGAUCCAAGAGACCUCACGGCCAGAGGAGGUGACCGGGGGCACAGAGCACAGGACCGGAAGUGCGGAGUCCUGGAUUCCAGUCUCGAUUCUGCUACUGUCUGCGCUACCCUGGGGACGUCAGCUGGCCUCUGUCAGCCUUCUUUCCUCAUAUGCACAGUGAAGAUUAGACAGUGUCCAAGGCCCUUUCAGCUCCCCGAUCUGAAUCUGGACCUCUUGGACAAUGCUAGGCUGGGAAGGAAACCCCACUCAUCUGCCCCUGCCGACGCUGCCCCCACAGCUGUGGGGAACCUGCCCCAGGGUCCACAGGGAGGGCUCAGGCCCAGCCCACCCGGGAGGCACAGCUUCCAGAUACAGGCAGUUCAGGAAAGCCACCGUGACCCCCGGCUCUCAGCCCACUGCUGAAAUGCAAGGCACCAGAAACUAAAAUGGAACUUAUUCCUACAAAAAAAUAAGCCUCCAGGUCUCCCACACCAUCAACCCUCAAGCGAUUGGAAAACUGUUGAGAAUCCGGCCUAUGUCACAGGGGGACGCAGAGCUAAGGCUGAUUUGCUGAAAUGCACGGAGCCGGGCUGCAGGUUCAACUCCACCCCACACCUCCCUUUCCCCUCCUCUCUGACCCUCCUGCCCUGCCCCCUUCAGAUUCCAGUACCUUAACAUACAUCUGAAUUCCUUCCCCACCCCCUGCCCCGCAGUGCGGGGACGACCUAGUGUGUCCUGUGGGGCGAGCUCUCAAGGUCACCCUCGCCAGCAGCCCCCGCGCCUACGGACACAUCCACAGCACACCUUCGCAUUCCUGCACACACCCUCUUUCCAAACAAUGCCCCGAGUGCUCCAGGCUGACCACCUCCUUUCUGCCCCAGGCUGAGGCUGAGGGGCCCUAACAAGGGACAGUCCCCUGCCCCCCACAGUGUGCUCUCCGGGUCUCCCAAAGAGCCUGCAGCCCCUCCCUGCCCCAAGUCCUCCACAAUUCAGCAAUCCUGUGAUGAAUGUAAACAGUAUGUCAAGAUAGCAAGACUGCAAAGUGAUAUGCAACUGUGAAUCCCACUCACGGCAAAGUCACAGGUCUGCCAAUGCUACCUGUUGCCUUCACAACUAAAGAUGAUGCUAAAUUCCCGUUAAAGGUAGGUGAAAAAUAAAGAUGUUACUUUUUUUUCCCCAGCUAAGAUUUACAAACCCUCCGAAUUCUACCCACAGAGGCCUUGGUGCCCAUGGACCCAGUUAAGAAUCCAAGCCCUCAGGUAAUCCACCACCUCUGAGCUCAGGCGAGAGAACUGCAGAUGAUCAACUUUCCUGUUUGCAUUGGUCCUGUGGAAUUCUCAGACACCUUCCUCCCCCAAAUUCACACCCAGCACUUCCCAACCCCACAGGAUCUGAGGUUUGGAAGGGGACCGGCAAACCAACCCUCCUGCAAAGGACCCCAGGAAGCCUCCAUUGGAUCUAGCUACCAUGUCAUUCAAAAAAUACCAAGGGGGAGGUGGGCUCUCCGGAGGCCCCCUGGGAAUUUGGAACUUAGCCCCCGACUCUUGCCAGUCUAUGGAAUGAGGGGACUGAUGCCCCAGCUGCAAACCCAGAAUAUCAUCAUCAAGACCCCCCCGUUGGUGAGGAAAUGGUGUUUCCUAGCACAGCAUUCUAGUGCUUGGAAUCUGAUCUUUGUGGACAAGAGCCUGGGGAAGAAGGAACUGUACUGCUUCAGGGUUUUCAUGUCCUAUAGAAGGUCCUGCAUCAGAAAACUCUUCCAUACAGUCGACACCCACUCUCCAUUUUUUUUUUAAGUUCCUUCUCUUCAAUUUCCUCUGAUACAUCAGCUUGGAAGUUCUUUAAAGCAAUGGCCUCGCCCUGCCGUCCCCACACCCCCAACAGCACGGAGCAAAGUACAGUCUGGGGCACUCCUAAAGUUGUACUUGAUGGAUCAGUGCAUCGAUGGUUGGCCGCUGCAGUCGGCCGUGGAAAAAGGGAGAAGGGAGAUAGCCCGGGACCCUCCAGGCAAGCGGGGUAGGAGAUCGUUCCUGAACUUUCUUUCUCGACUCUCCUCCCCGCCCACGGGGAAAGGUGUUCGCCUCCACCAGGCGACGGUGGGGUGGCGGGAGCAGGGGACUGCACGCUAGCCCGGAAUGCGCCCUGAAAUCGGACCUCUAGACUUUCUCUAAAAGCC
This is a long non-coding RNA of Lemur catta (Ring-tailed lemur), 2464 nucleotides long. RefSeq lists it as uncharacterized. The record is from RefSeq and is a predicted model, not a curated record. NCBI's taxonomy places the organism in Eukaryota, Metazoa, Chordata, Mammalia, Primates, Lemuridae. The transcript has 5 exons.